UUGGAAAAUGGUUAAGUCUAGCCUGCUCACUGAUAAAAUUAUUAAAUAGCCGCGGUAUUUUGACCGUGCAAAGGUAGCAUAAUCAUUAGUUUUUUAAUUGAAAACUCGUAUGAAUGGUUGGACAAAGAAAAAGCUGUCUCUUGUGUUGUUAUUGAAUUUAACUUUUAAGUGAAAAGGCUUAGAUAUUCUAGAGGGACGAUAAGACCCUAUAAAGCUUUAUAAAUUUAAAGAUUUUGUAUAUUUUUAUAUAAAAAUAAAUUCUAAAAAGUUUAUUUGGUUGGGGCGACAAUGGUAUAAUUAAAAUAACUGCUAUUAAAUUCAACAAAUAUAUUUGUUUUAUAAAAAUAAUUGAUCCUUUGUAAGGAUUUUAAAAUCAAUUUACUUUAGGGAUAACACCGUUAUUUUUCCUGAAAGUUCUUAUCAAAGGAAAAGUUUGCAACCUCAAUGUUAAAUUAAAAUGUCUUUAUAGUGCACCACCUAUAAAAAAAGGUCGGUUCAACCUUUAAUAUUUUACAUGAUCUGAUUCAAACCGGGA
RNAcentral lists this ribosomal RNA (535 nucleotides) under Charybdis lucifera. RNAcentral's name for it is "partial 16S ribosomal RNA". It matches the Rfam family "Archaeal large subunit ribosomal RNA", at positions 1923 to 2690 of the family's 2987-position model. The record is from RNAcentral. Lineage: Eukaryota; Metazoa; Arthropoda; Malacostraca; Decapoda; Portunidae.